GACGAACGCUGGCGGCGUGCCUAACACAUGCAAGUCGUGCGAGAAAGUUCCUUCGGGAGCGAGUAAAGCGGCGCACGGGUGAGUAACACGUAGGUAACCUGCCCCCCAGUCUGGAACAACUAGAGGAAACUCUAGCUAAUGCCGGAUGAGACCACGAUCCCUUCGGGGGUUGCGGCCAAAGAUGGCCUCUACUUGUAAGCUAUCGCUGAGGGAUGGGCCUGCGGCCAUUAGCUUGUUGGUGAGGUAACGGCUCACCAAGGCUGUGAUGGCUAGCUGGUCUGAGAGGAUGACCAGCCACACUGGGACUGAGACACGGCCCAGACUCCUACGGGAGGCAGCAGUGGGGAAUAUUGCGCAAUGGGCGAAAGCCUGACGCAGCGACGCCGCGUGGGUGAUGAAGGCCUC
Molecule: ribosomal RNA, 405 nt
Filed under: uncultured bacterium
Lineage: Bacteria
Description: bacterial SSU rRNA
Rfam family: Bacterial small subunit ribosomal RNA
Source: RNAcentral